CAUAGGGAAUCUUCCACAAUGGGCGAAAGCCUGAUGGAGCAACGCCGCGUGUGUGAUGAAGGGUUUCGGCUCGUAAAACACUGUUGUAAGAGAAGAAUGACAUUGAGAGUAACUGUUCAAUGUGUGACGGUAUCUUACCAGAAAGGAACGGCUAAAUACGUGUCAG
This 166-nucleotide ribosomal RNA is filed under the name uncultured bacterium. Its description in RNAcentral is "partial 16S rRNA". It matches the Rfam family "Bacterial small subunit ribosomal RNA", at positions 353 to 511 of the family's 1533-position model. The record is from RNAcentral.